AGGCCAUCCAACUUCAAACAAAAUCUACUCGUUCCCAACAACAUGGACAGACAAAUCACGUGGGCUGAGAUCUUGGAUGAAUAUGAGGCCCGGGAGUCGGCGUGCCAGUCGACCACGUGGGGGGACGUUAUGGAUAAGGUGGACCCUUUCCCAGGCCAAAGUUACAAGAAUCGCUCCCCAAAGAGGAUAAUUGGGGAGUUGAAGGACGUCAGCGGGAUGAAGCAUCUCCAGGAAAAGAACCUUAGCAAAGAAAGAU
This is a long non-coding RNA of Lethenteron reissneri (Far Eastern brook lamprey), 256 nucleotides long. RefSeq lists it as uncharacterized. NCBI's taxonomy places the organism in Eukaryota, Metazoa, Chordata, Hyperoartia, Petromyzontiformes, Petromyzontidae. The record is from RefSeq and is a predicted model, not a curated record.